Molecule: ribosomal RNA, 439 nt
Filed under: uncultured Tissierella sp.
Lineage: Bacteria; Bacillati; Bacillota; Tissierellia; Tissierellales; Tissierellaceae
Description: bacterial SSU rRNA
Rfam family: Bacterial small subunit ribosomal RNA
Source: RNAcentral
CCUACGGGGGGCUGCAGUGGGGAAUAUUGCACAAUGGAGGAAACUCUGAUGCAGCGACGCCGCGUGAACGAUGAAGGCUUUCGGGUCGUAAAGUUCUGUCCUUGGGGACGAUAAUGACGGUACCCAAGGAGGAAGCCCCGGCUAACUACGUGCCAGCAGCCGCGGUAAUACGUAGGGGGCAAGCGUUGUCCGGAUUUAUUGGGCGUAAAGGGUUCGCAGGUGGCCUUUUAAGUCAGAUGUGAAAGAUCAAGGCUUAACCUUGGUAAGCAUUUGAAACUGAAAGGCUUGAGUUAAGGAGAGGAAAGUGGAAUUCCUAGUGUAGCGGUGAAAUGCGUAGAUAUUAGGAGGAAUACCAGUGGCGAAGGCGACUUUCUGGACUUAUACUGACACUGAGGAACGAAAGCAUGGGGAGCAAACAGGAUUAGAUACCCCGGUAGUC